Molecule: ribosomal RNA, 1541 nt
Filed under: uncultured Staphylococcus sp.
Lineage: Bacteria; Bacillati; Bacillota; Bacilli; Caryophanales; Staphylococcaceae
Description: partial 16S ribosomal RNA
Rfam family: Bacterial small subunit ribosomal RNA
Source: RNAcentral
AGAGUUUGAUCCUGGCUCAGGACGAACGCUGGCGGCGUGCCUAAUACAUGCAAGUCGAGCGGACUUAAAAAGCUUGCUUUUUAAGUUAGCGGCGGACGGGUGAGUAACACGUGGGCAACCUGCCUGUAAGACUGGGAUAACUUCGGGAAACCGGAGCUAAUACCGGAUAAUCCUUUUCUACUCAUGUAGAAAAGCUGAAAGACGGUUUACGCUGUCACUUACAGAUGGGCCCGCGGCGCAUUAGCUAGUUGGUGAGGUAACGGCUCACCAAGGCGACGAUGCGUAGCCGACCUGAGAGGGUGAUCGGCCACACUGGGACUGAGACACGGCCCAGACUCCUACGGGAGGCAGCAGUAGGGAAUCUUCCGCAAUGGACGAAAGUCUGACGGAGCAACGCCGCGUGAGUGAUGAAGGUUUUCGGAUCGUAAAACUCUGUUGUUAGGGAAGAACAAGUACGAGAGUAACUGCUCGUACCUUGACGGUACCUAACCAGAAAGCCACGGCUAACUACGUGCCAGCAGCCGCGGUAAUACGUAGGUGGCAAGCGUUGUCCGGAAUUAUUGGGCGUAAAGCGCGCGCAGGCGGUCCUUUAAGUCUGAUGUGAAAGCCCACGGCUCAACCGUGGAGGGUCAUUGGAAACUGGGGGACUUGAGUGCAGAAGAGAAGAGUGGAUUUCACGCGUAGCGGUGAAAUGCGUAGAGAUGUGGAGGAACACCAGUGGCGAAGGCGACUCUUUGGUCUGUAACUGACGCUGAGGCGCGAAAGCGUGGGGAGCAAACAGGAUUAGAUACCCUGGUAGUCCACGCCGUAAACGAUGAGUGCUAAGUGUUAGAGGGUUUCCGCCCUUUAGUGCUGCAGCAAACGCAUUAAGCACUCCGCCUGGGGAGUACGGCCGCAAGGCUGAAACUCAAAGGAAUUGACGGGGGCCCGCACAAGCGGUGGAGCAUGUGGUUUAAUUCGAUGCAACGCGAAGAACCUUACCUACUCUUGACAUCCGGAGAACUUAGCAGAGAUGCUUUGGUGCCUUCGGGAACUCUGAGACAGGUGCUGCAUGGCUGUCGUCAGCUCGUGUUGUGAAAUGUUGGGUUAAGUCCCGCAACGAGCGCAACCCUUAUCCUUUGUUGCCAGCGGUCCGGCCGGGAACUCAAAGGAGACUGCCAGUGAUAAACUGGAGGAAGGUGGGGAUGACGUCAAGUCAUCAUGGCCCUUACGAGUAGGGCUACACACGUGCUACAAUGGCGCAUACAAAGAGAAGCGACCUCGCGAGAGCAAGCGGACCUCAUAAAGUGCGUCGUAGUCCGGAUUGGAGUCUGCAACUCGACUCCAUGAAGUCGGAAUCGCUAGUAAUCGUAGAUCAGAAUGCUACGGUGAAUACGUUCCCGGGCCUUGUACACACCGCCCGUCACACCAUGGGAGUGGGUUGCAAAAGAAGUAGGUAGCUUAACCUUCGGGAGGGCGCUUACCACUUUGUGAUUCAUGACUGGGGUGAAGUCGUAACAAGGUAACCGUAGGGGAACCUGCGGUUGGAACACCUCCUUUCU